RNAcentral lists this transfer RNA (73 nucleotides) under Proteomonas sulcata. Its description in RNAcentral is "tRNA-Arg". It matches the Rfam family "tRNA". From Rfam's summary of the family: Transfer RNA (tRNA) molecules are approximately 80 nucleotides in length. The record is from RNAcentral. Lineage: Eukaryota; Cryptophyceae; Pyrenomonadales; Geminigeraceae.
AUGUUUAUAGCUCAGUGGAUAGAGUUUCAGGUUGCGGACCUGAAGGUCGAAAGUUCAAAUCUUUCUAAACAUA